Molecule: transfer RNA, 74 nt
Filed under: Marmota monax (woodchuck)
Lineage: Eukaryota; Metazoa; Chordata; Mammalia; Rodentia; Sciuridae
Description: tRNA.Ser
Rfam family: tRNA
About the family: Transfer RNA (tRNA) molecules are approximately 80 nucleotides in length. Their secondary structure includes four short double-helical elements and three loops (D, anti-codon, and T loops). Further hydrogen bonds mediate the characteristic L-shaped molecular structure. tRNAs have two regions of fundamental functional importance: the anti-codon, which is responsible for specific mRNA codon recognition, and the 3' end, to which the tRNAs corresponding amino acid is attached (by aminoacyl-tRNA synthetases). tRNAs cope with the degeneracy of the genetic code in two manners: having more than one tRNA (with a specific anti-codon) for a particular amino acid; and 'wobble' base-pairing, i.e. permitting non-standard base-pairing at the 3rd anti-codon position.
Source: RNAcentral
GCUGGGAUGUAGCUUAGUGGCAAAGCAUUUGCCUCGAAUUUGCAAAUCCCUGGGUUUGAUCCCCAGUUCCAAAA